AUCUUGAGUCAGCAGAAACAGCUGGUAAUUUGGGCAAUUCCAUAUAAGAGCACUCCUUUCAGCCGUCUUCAUCUCGGCUCGUGCAGCAUCUAUAGGGCCCAGGAUCUAUCCCCAGACUCAUGUGCUCAAGUUUAACUCAUCCUUCUGUUAUACACAAGCUUGGCUCUUGGGUCCUACGUCCCCCAAACCUGUGGUGGCUUACCUGAUGGGCCUUGGGACAUAACUUGAACAGCAUGGGCACACAUUCUCUGUCUGCUGGAGGAUCUCUUCUCUGACAGACACGUUCUCAUCGAGAUCCAAGUCAACAACUGUGGGAUCUGGAGCCAAAUUGUAGUCUUGGACCUUGGGGAUUGUAUCAGCCUCCUCGCUCUGUGCCAUCCUCUACUACUUGCUUUUUUUUUUCUUCUUCUUCUUCUUCCAAACCCCGGUCUUGCAAGUGGAAGGUUUGGGAUUCUAGCUACUAGCGACAUUUUUACUAUAUAACAUUUUAUUAUAAAAAGCUUGAUGAAAGGAACUAGACAUACACACAGACAGGAUACACCCUGGACAGGUCACCAGUACAUCGCAGGGCAGACAGUCACACUCACACACACCCAGGGGCAAUUCAGCACAUCCACACGGCCCGUCUGCAUUCAGUCUUGGACUGUGGGAAACCUGAGAACCUGGAGGAAACCCACACAGCCACGGGGAGAACAUGCAGACUCCACACAGAGAAGGCUGUGCUGGAACUAGCUACAUUUCUUGUUUAUUACUAAUAACUUAAUCAUGUGGGAACGUCCUUGGCUGUGAUAAAACAGUAACUCCCCCUGGUGGUUAAUCGUGGUUUAUUGCUGAAUUCUAUAUGAUAUGAGAUGUGACACAUAACACGGAGUUUAGUCGUGUUUAGCCUACUAUAGUUAACCACCUACAUUAGGAUGAGCACCAUAAGACGCAGUAAUAUCCUUUUGCCACCGGGGGGCACUACAGCCUUGAAAACGGAUCCUUAUAUUCCAACCACAGACCUGUCUUUUUAAAUUGCAUUUUAUAAAUUAAUUCUAUGAAA
This is a long non-coding RNA of Pygocentrus nattereri (red-bellied piranha), 1042 nucleotides long. RefSeq lists it as uncharacterized. The transcript is spliced from 3 exons. Lineage: Eukaryota; Metazoa; Chordata; Actinopteri; Characiformes; Serrasalmidae. The record is from RefSeq and is a predicted model, not a curated record.